CCAUUGGACGACGAGGAGAUUGUCGCAUACAUCUUGGCAGGCCUUGAUGAAGAAUACGACCCGGUGGUCUCGGUGAUCACUGGGCGCACUGAAGCAGUGACGAUCGCCGACGCAUACACUCAACUCCUCAGCUUUGAGG
Oryza glaberrima (African rice) is the source of this 139-nucleotide non-coding RNA. The record is from Rfam. Lineage: Eukaryota; Viridiplantae; Streptophyta; Magnoliopsida; Poales; Poaceae.